This 439-nucleotide ribosomal RNA is filed under the name uncultured bacterium. RNAcentral's name for it is "partial 16S ribosomal RNA". It matches the Rfam family "Bacterial small subunit ribosomal RNA", at positions 339 to 795 of the family's 1533-position model. The record is from RNAcentral.
CUACGGGUUGCUCCAGUGGGGAAUAUUGGGCAAUGGGCGAAAGCCUGACCCAGCAACGCCGCGUGAAGGAAGAAGGCUUUCGGGUCGUAAACUUCUAUCCCAGAUGAAGAUAAUGACGGUAAUCUGGAAGGAAGCCCCGGCUAACUACGUGCCAGCAGCCGCGGUAAUACGUAGGGGGCAAGCGUUGUCCGGAAUGAUUGGGCGUAAAGGGCGCGUAGGCGGCCUUUUAAGUCCGAUGUGAAAGUCCUGCUUUUAAGGUGGGAAUUGCAUUGGAAACUGGAAGGCUUGAGUGCAGGAGAGGUAAGUGGAAUUCCCGGUGUAGCGGUGAAAUGCGUAGAGAUCGGGAGGAACACCAGUGGCGAAGGCGACUUACUGGACUGUAACUGACGCUGAGGCGCGAAAGUGUGGGGAGCAAACAGGAUUAGAUACCCUCGUAGUC